AUAUGUUACUUCUGGGAUUGCAUUCUAUUUGAUCAUAGAGUAUGACAUCUUACAAUUGCUUAAUAGAAGUAACAUAUAUGGCAAUUUAUCAAGGAAAAUGCAGACAAUUUUACUUUUGAGAAAAUAAAUAAAUAAAUAAAAUAUAGCCUAGCAUUUAAAUUUGAUGCAUGAGCAUCAUCGGCCUCAUCCAAAUGCAGUUGUUGAGAUGGUACUUAUUUCUUGUUUACUUGAAGAAGAAGAAGUUGUACCAGCAAUACCUUCUCUUUCAACAAAGGCUGGCUGCUUAGGUGCUGGAAAGGUUGCAGUGUCACUGUUGAGCAUAACAAUAACAUAUGACAUGUCAGGCCGGUCAGCUGGAUCUUCUUGAACGCAUAACAGUGCGAUGCGUAGGCACUUCAAAAACUCAUUGCUGUUACAACUUUCACUCAUCGUCUUGUCCAUGAAAUCCAAUGCCUUGUCUUCUCUCCACAAUCUCCAUGCAUAACUCAGAAGGUUUAAAGCUUGUUCAGGCUUAAAUACUCCGGUACUCCUCCUUCCACUCAGAAUUUCAAGCACAACCACGCCAAAGCUAAAAGCAUCUGAUUUAACUGAGAAAAGCCCAUCUAAUGCGUACUCUGGGGACAUAUAGCCGUAAGUUCCGACUACUCUGUUUGUGCUUCCCUCUGUUUGUUUGCCUUCAAAUAUCCUUGCCAAGCCAAAGUCUGAAAUUUUGGGGUUCAUUUCUGCAUCUAGUAAAAUGUUGCUUGUUUUCAAAUCCCUAUGAAUAAUCCUCAACCUAGAAUCUUGGUGCAGAUAAACAAGUCCUCGAGCAACUCCUAUAAUGAUAUUGAAGCGCACCUCCCAAUUCAGAAGCAUGCCAAGCUUUUCAUCGAAUAAAUAAGAAUCUAAACUUCUGUUAGGCAUAUAUUCAUAGAGUAAAAUCUUUUCAUUUCCGUGAAUGCAAUAGCCCAAAAGUCUUACAAGAUUCCGAUGUUGAAGUUUAGCAAUCAGCACAACUUCAUUUUUGAAUUCCUCUAACCCUUGUCCUGAAACACUUGAAAGUCUCUUUAUAGCAAUUUCCUGGCCCCCUGGAAAUAUACCCUUGUACACAGGCCCAAAGCCCCCUCUUCCAAGCUUGUUCGCAUCUGAGAAAUUAUCAGUGGCAGCUAGUAUGCUGUCUAAAUUGAAAAAUGGUACAUCUAUGCCCUUCUUGUCCUCUUCUUUAAAAUCUUUGGAGCCCAUCAAGUCUUUGAUGCGUUUCUCAGUGCCACACAAUAGCGCUGCAU
RNAcentral lists this unclassified non-coding RNA (1265 nucleotides) under Hevea brasiliensis (rubber tree). Lineage: Eukaryota; Viridiplantae; Streptophyta; Magnoliopsida; Malpighiales; Euphorbiaceae. The record is from RNAcentral.